GGAGAGGUGUCCGAGUGGUCGAAGGAGGCGGUCUUGAAAACCGUUGAACCGCAAGGUUCCGUGGGUUCGAAUCCCACCUUCUCCG
This 85-nucleotide transfer RNA is filed under the name Spirochaetales bacterium. RNAcentral describes it as "tRNA-Ser". It matches the Rfam family "tRNA". From Rfam's summary of the family: Transfer RNA (tRNA) molecules are approximately 80 nucleotides in length. Their secondary structure includes four short double-helical elements and three loops (D, anti-codon, and T loops). The record is from RNAcentral. Lineage: Bacteria; Pseudomonadati; Spirochaetota; Spirochaetia; Spirochaetales.